Long non-coding RNA from Epinephelus moara (kelp grouper), 655 nucleotides. RefSeq lists it as uncharacterized. Lineage: Eukaryota; Metazoa; Chordata; Actinopteri; Perciformes; Serranidae. The transcript is spliced from 3 exons. The record is from RefSeq and is a predicted model, not a curated record.
UUCAAUCACUCUACAAAAAGACCUCAGUUGGGAGCCACUGACAUAGUAAACAGAUAUAGGAUAUAAAUAUAGACUUAGACCUGGCUUUAUCAAAUGCAGGGUGGUGAUAAUCCUAUUUUAUGUCAGUGUAGUUGGGGCUCUCCCUGUCACUGCAGAAUGGGGACUAUCUGUCCCUCUGGUGCCUCCCUCAGUAGGGCCAUUUGUCUGAGCGCAAGGGGUGGUUACUUGCGUUCUCCUGUCUCUGCAUCACACAGCUGAUCCAACAGGAUUUAAAACCCCAACAUCGUCCUGUGUGCUGGCAUUGGACAAGGAGAAGCUGAAAACUUCACACAGCUGACUGGAGGAAAGUGGAGGAUGGCAGAUUUUAAGCUGUUUGAAUACCAGGAAGAGGUGGUUGAAAGAGCUCUUCGGGGAGAGAACAUAAUCAUUUGGCUGCCGACAGGAAGCGGAAAGACCCGUGCUGCUGUGUUUGUGGCCAAAAAACACUUAGAGAUCACACCACAGGCAAAAGUGAUGGUCCUGGUAAACGAGGUUCACCUUGUGAACCAACAUUACAACAAAGAGUUCAAGCCUUACCUGGGCCAUGACUACACCUUGAAGCCAGUCAGUGGAGAGAGUGAAGAAAAGGACUUCUUUGGGAAAGUGGUGCAGGACU